RNAcentral lists this ribosomal RNA (253 nucleotides) under uncultured bacterium. Its description in RNAcentral is "partial 16S ribosomal RNA". It matches the Rfam family "Bacterial small subunit ribosomal RNA", at positions 524 to 776 of the family's 1533-position model. The record is from RNAcentral.
UACGUAGGGUGCAAGCGUUAAUCGGAAUUACUGGGCGUAAAGCGUGCGCAGGCGGUCUUGCAAGACAGAUGUGAAAUCCCCGGGCUCAACCUGGGAACUGCAUUUGUGACUGCAAGGCUGGAGUGCGGCAGAGGGGGAUGGAAUUCCGCGUGUAGCAGUGAAAUGCGUAGAUAUCUGGAGGAACACCGGUGGCGAAGGCGGCAUCCUGGACCAAUUCUGACACUGAGGAGCGAAAGCCAGGGGAGCAAACGGG